RNAcentral lists this ribosomal RNA (289 nucleotides) under uncultured bacterium. RNAcentral describes it as "partial 16S ribosomal RNA". It matches the Rfam family "Bacterial small subunit ribosomal RNA", at positions 524 to 812 of the family's 1533-position model. The record is from RNAcentral.
UACGGAGGGGGCAAGCGUUACUCGGAAUUAUUGGGCGUAAAGGGCGCGUAGGCGGUCGUGUGCGUCGGAGGUGAAAUCCCCGGGCUUAACCCGGGACGCUGCCUCCGAUACUGGCAAUCUCGAGUUCGGAAGAGGUUGGUGGAACAGCUAGUGUAGAGGUGAAAUUCGUAGAUAUUAGCUAGAACACCAGUGGCGAAGGCGGCCAACUGGUCCGACACUGACGCUGAGGUGCGAAAGCGUGGGGAGCAAACAGGAUUGAGAACUACCGGUAGUCCAAGACCAACGGUCU